CAAUUUUUCUCAUUUGAAAUUUCAUAAAUAAAAAAGAAAAUUUCUUCAAACAUUUUUUUGAGAGGAUUAAUAUUCAACAGCAUAGUGAAUUGCUCUAAGAGAAAACAAAAAUUUUAAGUUCAUUAGAACACAUUCAUUCUGUGUCAGAAACCUAUGCUGUGUCAACUAUUUAAUCACAAUCCAAAUUUAGAGCUGAAUCCAGCUUGAAUGUUGUGCCCAUACUUGCCCCAACCGUUCAGGGUUCAACCUCUGCGGUCGUAUAAAGCUACGCCCUGCGGAGCAUCUGGUUUACAGGUGUUU
Molecule: long non-coding RNA, 300 nt
Filed under: Mytilus galloprovincialis (Mediterranean mussel)
Lineage: Eukaryota; Metazoa; Mollusca; Bivalvia; Mytilida; Mytilidae
Source: RNAcentral